UACGUAGGGGCCUAGCGUUGUCCGGAUUUAUUGGGCGUAAAGAGCUCGUAGGCGGUUCGGUAAGUCAGGUGUGAAAUCUCCACGCUCAACGUGGAGGCGCCACCUGAAACUGCCGUGACUCGAGUCCGGUAGGGGAGUGUGGAAUUCCCGGUGUAGCGGUGAAAUGCGUAGAUAUGCGGAGGAACACCGAUGGCGAAGGCAAUCCCCUGGACCUGUACUGACGCUCAUGCACGAAAGCGUGGGGAGCGAACAGG
Molecule: ribosomal RNA, 254 nt
Filed under: uncultured bacterium
Lineage: Bacteria
Description: partial 16S ribosomal RNA
Rfam family: Bacterial small subunit ribosomal RNA
Source: RNAcentral